Molecule: ribosomal RNA, 406 nt
Filed under: uncultured bacterium
Lineage: Bacteria
Description: partial 16S ribosomal RNA
Rfam family: Bacterial small subunit ribosomal RNA
Source: RNAcentral
AUUGAACGCUGGCGGCAGGCCUAACACAUGCAAGUCGAACGAGUGGCGGACGGGUGAGUAAUGUCUGGGAAACUGCCUGAUGGAGGGGGAUAACUACUGGAAACGGUAGCUAAUCCCGCAUACCAUCAGAUUUUCCCAGAUGGGAUUAGCUAGUUGGUGGGGUAACGGCUCAACAAGGCGACGAUCCCUAGCUGGUCUGAGAGGAUGACCAGCCACACUGGAACUGAGACACGGUCAAGAAUCCUACGGGAGGCAGCAGUGGGGAAUAUUGCACAAGGGGCGCAAGCCUGAUGAAGCCAGGCCGCGUGUGUGAAGAAGGCCUUCGGGUUGGAAAGCACUUUCAGCGAGGAGGCGUUACUCGCAGAAGAAGCACCGGCUAACUCCGUGCCAGCAGCCGCGGUAAUUC